CGUAACAAGGUUUCCGUAGGUGAACCUGCGGAAGGAUCAUUACCUAGAGUUGUAGGCUUUGCCUGCUAUCUCUUACCCAUGUCUUUUGAGUACCUUCGUUUCCUCGGCGGGUCCGCCCGCCGAUUGGACAAUUUAAACCAUUUGCAGUUGUAAUCAGCGCCUGAAAAAACUUAAUAGUUACAACUUUCAACAACGGAUCUCUUGGUUCUGGCAUCGAUGAAGAACGCAGCGAAAUGCGAUAAGUAGUGUGAAUUGCAGAAUUCAGUGAAUCAUCGAAUCUUUGAACGCACAUUGCGCCCCUUGGUAUUCCAUGGGGCAUGCCUGUUCGAGCGUCAUUUGUACCUUCAAGCUCUGCUUGGCGUUGGGUGUUUGUCUCGCCUCUGCGCGUAGACUCGCCUCAAAACAAUUGGCAGCCGGCGUAUUGAUUUCGGAGCGCAGUACAUCUCGCGCUUUGCACUCAUAACGACGACGUCCAAAAGUACAUUUUUACACUCUUGACCUCGGAUCAGGUAGGGAUACCCGCUGAACUUAAGC
This 534-nucleotide ribosomal RNA is filed under the name uncultured fungus. RNAcentral's name for it is "eukaryotic LSU rRNA". The stretch from base 182 to 335 matches the Rfam family "5.8S ribosomal RNA". The record is from RNAcentral. Lineage: Eukaryota; Fungi.